Molecule: long non-coding RNA, 1150 nt
Organism: Cervus elaphus (red deer)
Lineage: Eukaryota; Metazoa; Chordata; Mammalia; Artiodactyla; Cervidae
Exons: 2
Source: RefSeq, a predicted model, not a curated record
UCAUCCCCUUCUCCUCCUGCCUUCAAUCUUUCCCAGCAUCAGGGUCUUUUCAAAUGAGUCAGCUCUUUGCAUCAGCAUAUUAAUCAUAAUUAAAAAAAAUCCUAAACUGUUAAUUCUAACAUUCAUGCCGUACUGGACUCCAAUUUGUUCUGCCUCGUCAAACUGUGUUUUUUGUCUUUUAGUGUGCCUUGUAGUUAUUUGCUGCAAGGCAGAUAUGAAGUGCUGGGUAAAAGGGAUUAUGGUAAAUAGGCCUUUAGUAAUGUGGUGGGAACGUGGGAAAGCAUUCUGUAGGUCUGUGAUUAGGUCUCCUCUUUUGGUGAGCCUGUCCUAUUAGAUUGUGAACCUCACCAGUACUUUUCAGGUUUUUCUCCCCACAGGUGGGGCAGGAUGACUACAGGGGGCUGGAAUUGUUCUAUUCUCUCUUAAAUUAGUCUCCGGUAAAAUCCCAGCAGGGGGACUUCCCUGGUGGUCCAGGGGCUAAGACUACUCCAAAUGCAGGGGGUCCAGGGUCCCAUCCCUGGUCUGGGAACUAUAAUAGAUCCCACAUGCUACAAUUCAGAGUUCUCAUGUUGCAACUAAGAUCCAGUGAACCCAAAUACAUAAAUAUUUUUAAAAAACAAAACAACUGCCUCCCCCUCUCCCAGCAGGUUAGGCUCUCAUAAAAUAGUUUCUCCUAAGGGCAAGCCUGUUAAAAAGAAAGGAAUGCUCUAGGAUAUUUCAGAAUGGUUCCUUUCCCCUCCCCGUGUCAGAGGCAUGAGAGGAUUUUUCUCUGAUAUUCACUGUGAGGACCUGGUAGAGCCCUUGGAUAUAAAACUCACAAAAGUUUGGGUCCCACUAUAACUGGGUUCCCUUGGAGUUUUCAACUCCCAGACAUGUCUACACUAAACUUCCAGCAAUUUGUCAAUCACAGUUCAGGUUUUCCUUCUGACAUUGGUUCCAGUACAGGUUUCUGCUUAGGACAGAAUGAAGAUUUCUAGUCUUUUUAUAUGCUGGACCAGAAACCAGAAGUCCUCUACUUCUUUUUGUUCUUUUGUUUUUUCCUUUGCUACACUAUUUAAUUCAUUAUUUUCCCCAAUAUGUAUAACAUAAAGUUUACUGUCUUAAUCAUUUGUAAGUGUGUACUUUAGUGAUAUUAAAUACAUUCAUAAUA